CGAGUGGACCGGAUGGUCGCUGGCCGGGCUCGCGCCCGACGAGAGGAAAGUCCGAGCUCCACAGGGCAAUGGUGCUGGUUAACGGCCAGCGGGGGCGACCCCAGGGAAAGUGCCACAGAGACCAUACCGCCGAAGCGGGCUCGCCCGCGGCAGCAAGGGUGAAAAGGUGCGGUAAGAGCGCACCGCGCCCCUGG
Molecule: RNase P RNA, 194 nt
Filed under: Myxococcales bacterium
Lineage: Bacteria; Pseudomonadati; Myxococcota; Myxococcia; Myxococcales
Description: partial RNase P RNA component class A
Rfam family: Bacterial RNase P class A
About the family: Ribonuclease P (RNase P) is a ubiquitous endoribonuclease, found in archaea, bacteria and eukarya as well as chloroplasts and mitochondria. Its best characterised activity is the generation of mature 5'-ends of tRNAs by cleaving the 5'-leader elements of precursor-tRNAs. Cellular RNase Ps are ribonucleoproteins.
Source: RNAcentral